CUCAAAACUUUUUGGGGAUUCUUUUUCUUAUAUUUGUUACGCGCUCAUAUCUGCGUGCUUCUUACAUAACAUUGACACUUUAAGAAAAGUCAUGAAAGAAGAACAGGGGGGGGGGGGCGCUGCAGGUCGGUUCUGGUUCCGUCGGUCGGAACAUUCCUGCAGGAGUGGGUGUGGCAUCAGACCCAGUUCAUUGUUUCCUGUUUAGGAGCGCAGACUCCGAAUUUCCCUUAAGGCAGAGGAACCGGAGAGUCCGUCCGUUCAGGACCGUGACGCUUCCUCCCAGAACUGAAAGAUCAGCUCCACUGCAGGUCCACGGAACCGAACCUAAGAACUCCAAACCUCUAGACCUGCAGUUCUCAUUCCUGCUGCCACUCUUCUGAAAGUUUGGACUCUUUUUAAACCAAAGAAGUUUGGAUGGAUUUCUGAAGCUGAAAGGAAAUGAGUGCUGCUCAGGAUCUCAUUGAUCGGGAUCUCUGAUGAGGAUCUCAUUGGUCAGGUUCUUGUUUGUCAGGAUCUCGUUGGUCAGGAUCUCAUUGAUCGGGAUUNNNNNNNNNNUCAUUGGUCAGGUUCUUAUUGAUCAGGAUUUCAUUGGUCAGGUUCUUAUUGAUCAGGAUUUCAUUGGUCAGGUUCUUAUUGAUCAGGAUCUCAUUGGUCAGGUUCUUAUUGAUCAGGAUUUCAUUGGUCAGGUUCUUAUUGAUCAGGAUUUCAUUGGUCAGGUUCUUAUUGAUCAGGAUCUCAUUGGUCAGGUUCUUGUUGGUCAGGAUCUCUGAUCAGGAUCUCGCUCUUUCUUCCAGGUCCAUUCCAUUACAGUACAGGAAAUGUUUCUGCUCGAUACGAGACGGACAUCACUCCAGCUGGAUGGACCUUCUCCAUCUGGGGGGUCAUCUAUACGUGGUUGACUCUGAUGGUCAUUUAUGUCACGUCAUUAGCUUUCAGAGGGACCUGGGCUCAGUAUCUGCUGCCCUUUGGCUUUCACUUCUCCUGGCUGUUCAACAUGCUCCUGAACGUCACGUGGCUUCUCCUGUGGGACAGGGAGUUGAUGCUAGUUGCCAUGGUUGUGUUGCUGCUGAUGGUCAUCACCAACUUCAGCGCCUUGUUCUUCUGCUGCUCUGCCACAGACUAUUAUGGUUUGUGGCUAAAGAGAUACCAUGGAAAAGACCUGGCCUCUCUCAUCCUGCUGGUCCAGAAUGGCUUGGCCGUCUACACAACAUGGACUUCUGUUGCUUCUCUCAUCAACUUUUCUCUGGUUCUUCACCUGUGGAAUGUGAACAAGAGCACAGCAGCAACAGCAUCUCUGUGCAUCCUGUUUGCUGAGGUGGCGGGCUGGUUCAUCCUGGAGAACUGGGUUCUGGACCGCUGGGUUCGUAACAUCAUCACAGUGUAUCCGGUGGUGAUCGUGGCUCUGGUUGGGAACGUCUAUAAACACUUCAGCAUGGCGGAUCCCACUCCGAAUUCUGUGUUCAUGGUGGUUCUGCUGGUUCUGGCAUGCAUCCUCUUCAUCUCUCGUAUUUUCACGGUCAUCUGGAGGAACAAGUGGCGCCCGCUGUACUCGCCAGGUUCUGCUCGGCUGAUGGUGUCCCCGCUCGACGGCAGUCGGGUCAAAGCCCUUUCCUAAGGGGACGGCCUGCUACGCAGGACUUCCGUCCGGACCUGAAGGUGGAACCGCUUAUGAAGUGAGACUCUGUUUGGGUGGAGAGAAGAAACCAGAGGAGGAGCUCUGAUGGUCCUUUAAUCACAGCCUCCAGCUUUCUACGCUCUUGAUCUGCAGCAUUUAUGGCUUCCUCAUUUAAAACAACCUAUUAACCUAUUCAGCCUUAUGUAUGAUUUUUAUUCUUUUGUACUUAAACACCACAACAGUCUAGAAUGAAAUGUCAAAAAAAAAACAUUUUGUCUCUUUCAUUUGAUGCUGAAACAAACGUUACAAUCUUUCUGUUCAAUAAAUGUUGCUUGUCUUUUAUUUUGUGGUCAUUCGUGUUGGGUCAUCUGUGUUGGGUCAUCCGUGUUGGGUCAUCCGUGGUGGGGUCAUUCGUGUUGGGGUCAUCCGUGUUGGGGUCAUUCGUGUUGGGGUCAUUCGUGUUGGGUCAUCCGUGUUGGGGUCAUUCGUGUUGGGGUCAUCCGNNNNNNNNNNNNNNNNNNNNNNNNNNNNNNNNNNNNNNNNNNNNNNNNNNNNNNNNNNNNNNNNNNNNNNNNNNNNNNNNNNNNNNNNNNNNNNNNNNNNUGUUGGGGUCAUCCGUGUUGGGUCAUUCGUGUAGGGGUCAUUCGUGUUGGGGUCAUCCGUGUUGGGGUCAUUCGUGUUGGGGUCAUUCGUGUUGGGGUCAUCCGUGUUGGGUCAUUUGCAUGGUUGUCAGUAACGCUGUGAGCUGUGUGGCGGUCUGUCGUGGCGCCACGCUCUCACAUGAACAACUAUAAACAGUUUAGACUAAUCAAUGAGGCGAUUUGAGCCAGAGCCUGAUUUCCAUUUCCUGAUUUCACUUUAUUACACAUAACUUCAUUUAUAGACAUAAAUGUUUGGAUUUCUUUCUAUUUGUGCAUCACUUGGGUUGAUGCCGACAUCUGGUGAAAAUUUUGUGUCAAUAGCUCGAUUAGACAUAUGUUUUUGGAGAGAAAUGUUGACGUGUUCAACACUUAUUUUCCCCUCUGUAUUUGUCUGUUUCUGCAUUUUCUCACAGAUGAAAUCAUUCUUCACGUUUCAUUUCAUCUUUUUGAACUAUAAUCAUUUUGACGUCAGCAGCGACGCGAUGCCCCUUUUCUGUUGUACAAAGUCGGCUCCUGAGCAGAACCGCUGUGACCUUUGUCACCGUUGACUGAGCUGGCAUUUCUGAGGAGGACAAACACGAAAAUAGUUCAGACAAACUGUGGCUUUGCAAAUAUUAUCAGGCCCUGUUUCAUUCCAUCAGGAAGAGAAAGUGAAAUUCAGACUGGAAUGAAGUUUCACCACAGAGAGAACAUGAAACUCACCAUAAAUGAACCAUUCAGCAUUCUAGAAAAAGGUCACCUCCAAAUAAAACCAGAGGGAUGUCUCAAAGGACAAAAGAAACUUAAGUUGGUCAAAAGUUAAAAGACCAUCUCUAAAAAGCGUGACAUUUCUGAGACGACAGCAGCUCAUUCUAGCAGAAGAUGAAGCUCCACAGGACUGCAGAACUCCAUUGACGUGUCUGCAAGAGGAGAAGAAGAGGAGCAUCCCAGCUGAAGGUCAUAGAAACAAGACGGACAUUUGCUCCAAGACCCAAAGUUCCCCUGGGAGACGAGGAAACUAAACCGGAGCUUUAUGGGAACAUCAAGCAAACCAAGUAAGGGACUCUGCUGUGAAAAACACAAACAUCUGUCUCAGAUCUGCAGGAACAAUUUAAAGCUCAAGACUAUUAAGAUGUUCCAAAGCCUAAUAUGUUUGCUGAAAGCUUUGCCUCUGAUCUCGGUCCACAGGCCUUCCACCAGGAUCUGGACCUGGACAGAUCAUGGAGCUGUUCUGAGGUGGUCUAUGAAGUAUGUGGUAUCAGCUGAGGCAUGCUGAACAACAAGGGGGUUUGAAAGCCUUAAAAGAAAGUUUUAGAAGGUCCCCUGCAGGAAGAAUUAGCCAAAAUGUAGCAAAGAAAAACUGGGAAGUACUUCUAGAAAACACACAGUAUUCCAGUUAAUAUUAAUAUUAACAAAAAAGUCUGAAGUGGUGAGGACAUCGUGUGAACGUCAUCAUUCUGUAAAUUUAACGUUAAAACAAAUGACAAGUUGCAUCUAUUUUUCUGCAAGACUAUAAACCUGCAGUGUUUCCUGUUUGCCAAGAGUUUGAUAUUUACCUACAACACUCAGUCAUUUAAAAGGAUUAAAAAUGUUAUGACUGUAAAACUUUCUCUAAACUUUAGAGAUGUAGAACACAAAGGCAUUUAGAAGGAAAACAAGUUUGCCUUUAGUUUGUUGAAUUUCUGUUUAAGACGUUUUGAUGUGAAUUUCCAGCUACGUCCUAUGGGAGUCACAGAGUAAUGGGAAUGAAUUCUUGAAAGGAGUCCAGCAGCUUUUCUUCACCUCACCCUGCCAUGUAUGGAAGCGUUUCUGUCUCAUAAUACAAAAUAAAAGUCAGUACCGGAAAAGCUUUUUCAUUUUCACAAUAAAGCUGCAUUCGCCGACUCAUAAAUAAAAUUAAAAAUCCAAACCGCUUUUUCUAUUUCAACACCACUCAUUCUAUCAUCUAAUUAAAACGAUAAAGAAAAUGGUAUUUGACAUUUCAUUUUCAAAAAGUUCGCUGGUAAAUGUGUAGCAAAAUUCAUUUAGAAAUAUUUAAUUUGACAAUUAAAAUGGAUUAACAGAAAUGCUUUUUCAUUUUCACAAUAUAAAUGCAUCAAAUGACUCAAAAAUAAAAAUAAAUAAUCCAAAAUACUUUUUCAUUUUCUACUUGAACAUCUCACAUUCUGUGACAUAAUUAAAGCGAUAAUGCAGGAGAAGAAGAAGGGAUUGCAUUUUUGUUUUCACAUCCACAGCCAAAAAAAUGUAAUAAUUCAAUUCCAGUUAGCGGAUCCAGGGGGGAGUGAGAGAAUUGAUUUUUCAUUUAAUUUUUGAGUCAACCAAUGCAGCUUUAUUGAGAAAAUAAAAAAGCAUUUUGGGUAUUGACUAUAAGGCUACGUUCGCACUGCAGGCUGAAACGACCCAAUUCCGAAUUUUUUGCCCCUAUGAGACCCAAUUCCGAUUUUUACAUGACAGUCUGAAUGACACAGAUCCGAUCUUUUCAAUUGCAACCCAGGCCACUUGGGUUUGCCGUCCUGAAUCCGAAACGUAUCCGCUCUUUUCAAUUGCGACCACCGUCUGACCGGCCAGGCCACCUGGUUCCGAAUCGUACGUCAUCAAUACGCUACACACGUCAUCAUUCUGCGUUGAAAUUAGGCGGGAACGAGGACGAAAAUAACAACCAUGGCGGACGCUGCAUCAGAGAACAGUCAGUGGAAGGGAAGCGAAGUACCUGAUUUGAUCAAUAUUUGGGGCGAUUGUUCUAUCCAGGGAAAACUUGAGGGCUCUUAUAGGAAUAGGGCGUUUUUUGAAGAAAUUGCGACAGAAAUGAACGAGCG
Oryzias sinensis (Chinese medaka) is the source of this 5051-nucleotide long non-coding RNA. The record is from Ensembl. Lineage: Eukaryota; Metazoa; Chordata; Actinopteri; Beloniformes; Adrianichthyidae.